Molecule: ribosomal RNA, 449 nt
Filed under: uncultured bacterium
Lineage: Bacteria
Description: partial 16S ribosomal RNA
Rfam family: Bacterial small subunit ribosomal RNA
Source: RNAcentral
AACGAACGCUGGCGGCAGGCUUAACGCAUGCAAGUCGAACGCAUCCUUCGAGGUGAGUGGCAGACGGGUGAGUAACGCGUGGGAACGUGCCCUUCAGUUCGGGAUAACCCAGGGAAACUUGGGCUAAUACCGGAUACGUGCGAGAGCAGAAAGAUUUAUCGCUGAAGGAUCGGCCCGCGUCUGAUUAGCUAGUUGGUGGGGUAAUGGCCCACCAAGGCGACGAUCAGCAGCUGGUCUGAGAGGAUGAUCAGCCACAUUGGGACUGGGACACGGCCCAAACGCCUACGGGAUGCAGCAGUGGGGAAUAUUGGACAAUGGGCGCAAGCCUGAUCCAGCCAUGCCGCGUGAGUGAUGAAGGCCUUAGGGUUGUAAAGCUCUUUCGUCCGGGACGAUAAUGACGGUACCGGAAGAAGAAGCCCCGGCUAACUUCGUGCCAGCCGCCGCGGUAA